Molecule: ribosomal RNA, 406 nt
Filed under: uncultured bacterium
Lineage: Bacteria
Description: partial 16S ribosomal RNA
Rfam family: Bacterial small subunit ribosomal RNA
Source: RNAcentral
AUUGAACGCUGGCGGCAGGCCUAAAACAUGCAAGUCGAACGAAUGGCGGACGGGUGAGUAAUGUCUUGGAAACUGCCUGAUGGAGGGGGAUAACUACUGGAACCGGUAGCUAAUACCGCAUACCAUCAGAUGUUCCCAGAUGGGAUUAGCUUGUUGGUGGGGUAUCGGCUCACCAAGGCGACGCUCCCUAGCUGGUCUGAGAGGCGGACCAGCCACACUGUAACUGAGACACGGUCCAGACGCCUACGGGAGGCAGCAGUGGGGAAUAUUUCACAAUGGGCGCAAGCCUGAUGCAGCCAUGACGCGUGUAUGAAGAAGGUCUUCGGGUUGUAAAGUACUUUCAGCGGAGAGGCGUUACCCGCAGAAGAAGCACCGGCUAACUCCGUGCCAGCCGCCGCGGUAAUAC